AGCAGCCGCGGUAAUUCCAGCUCCAAUAGCGUAUAUUAAAGUUGUUGCAGUUAAAAAGCUCGUAGUUGAAUUUCGGGAUCAGUAUGUUGGUCGUGCUUCGGUACGUACUGUCAUUACUGGUUUCUACCUUCUGAAGAACCUUGAUGUCAUUAACUUGGUGUCUUGGGGAAUCAGGACUGUUACUUUGAAAAAAUUAGAGUGUUUAAAGCAAGCAUACGCUUGAAUACAUUAGCAUGGAAUAAUGAAAUAGGACGUUUGAUUCUAUUUUGUUGGUUUCUAGGAUCGACGUAAUGAUUAAUAGGGAUAGUUGGGGGCAUUAGUAUUCAAUUGUCAGAGGUGAAAUUCUUGGAUUUAUUGAAGACUAACUACUGCGAAAGCAUUUGCCAAGGAUGUUUUCAUUAAUCAAGAACGAAAGUUAGGGGAUCGAAGACGAUCAGAUACCGUCGUAGUCUUAACCAUAAACUAUGCCGACUAGGGAUCGGAUGAUGUUAUUUUUAAUGACUCAUUCGGCGCCUUAAC
This 519-nucleotide ribosomal RNA is filed under the name uncultured Glomus. Its description in RNAcentral is "SSU rRNA". It matches the Rfam family "Eukaryotic small subunit ribosomal RNA", at positions 569 to 1092 of the family's 1831-position model. The record is from RNAcentral. Lineage: Eukaryota; Fungi; Glomeromycota; Glomeromycetes; Glomerales; Glomeraceae.